Haliotis rufescens (red abalone) is the source of this 392-nucleotide long non-coding RNA. RefSeq lists it as uncharacterized. The transcript is spliced from 3 exons. NCBI's taxonomy places the organism in Eukaryota, Metazoa, Mollusca, Gastropoda, Lepetellida, Haliotidae. The record is from RefSeq and is a predicted model, not a curated record.
ACAACUUUCUUCAGCAGCUGGAUCUCACACAGUUUGUCUCUCUGUCAAAGACAGCAGUAAAUGCAAUACGGAGUAAUGCAGGAUAAGUUAAAAAAUAGGAACUUAUCCACUGACAAAUUCUAUGCCUUCUUGGGACCCUAUUUGAUGACAAUACUGUGGUAUCAGAACUCCAUGACCAUCAGGCCUCAAGCCCUCCUCCAUCAUGUAAGGAUUUCAGAGUGACAGCCUUUCCUCACCGGAUCGUGGACAUCUAUCCAUUUAUUUGUCUUGGAUUCCACCAUCUGUCCAUCAAUAAACAUCUUGGUGGUGGGCUGCAAAGACAGACACAUGUCAGGACCCUCAUUUUGUCUGCAAGGACCCUUGAAAUUAACUGUUGGUUACCCUGGACCCCU